Molecule: transfer RNA, 53 nt
Filed under: Romanomermis nielseni
Lineage: Eukaryota; Metazoa; Nematoda; Enoplea; Mermithida; Mermithidae
Description: tRNA-Glu
Source: RNAcentral
AAAUAUAUAGUGUUUUAGCAUAAAGAAUUUUCAAUUCUUAGGAUUAAUAUUUA